GUAGCCUCAUUAAACAGUUCCGGGGAAUCUCCUAGCUUCUCUAAAGGGGCUGUGAAGUCUGUUGAGAGGGGGAGACCCUAAACCUAGUCUAUGAAGAGGGCAAGCCGGGUGUGAAGUAUUGAUCAGCCUCACUAGUGUUUUGAAGAUGAUCUGGUCGCGUCCUAGCUUCUCUAAGAUGGCUGAGAAGUCAGUUGAGAGGGUGAGACUCCAAACCGGUUCCAUGAAGAGGUGAAGCUGAAGUGUGAAGUG
This 249-nucleotide long non-coding RNA is filed under the name Brassica napus (rape). Its description in RNAcentral is "long non-coding RNA (BNAP_LNC008359)". The record is from RNAcentral. Lineage: Eukaryota; Viridiplantae; Streptophyta; Magnoliopsida; Brassicales; Brassicaceae.